Molecule: non-coding RNA, 48 nt
Filed under: Trypanosoma brucei brucei
Lineage: Eukaryota; Euglenozoa; Kinetoplastea; Trypanosomatida; Trypanosomatidae
Source: RNAcentral
AUAUACAAAUACAAAAUCGAUAGAAAAGAAAGUGAGAUCAUGAUUUAU